AUGUUUGAUCAUGGCUCAGAUUGAACGCUGGCGGCAUGCUUUACACAUGCAAGUCGAGCGGCAGCGCGGGGGCAACCCUGGCGGCGAGCGGCGAACGGGUGAGUAAUACAUCGGAACGUAUCCCGUAGAGGGGGAUAGCCCGGCGAAAGCCGGAUUAAUACCGCAUAUGCUCUACGGAGGAAAGUGGGGGACCUGUGAGGGCCUCACGCUAUGGGAGCGGCCGAUGUCCGAUUAGCUAGUUGGUGGGGUAAAGGCCUACCAAGGCGACGAUCGGUAGCUGGUCUGAGAGGAUGAUCAGCCACACUGGGACUGAGACACGGCCCAGACUCCUACGGGAGGCAGCAGUGGGGAAUAUUGGACAAUGGGGGCAACCCUGAUCCAGCAAUGCCGCGUGAGUGAUGAAGGCCUUAGGGUUGUAAAGCUCUUUUACCCACGACGAUGAUGACGGUAGUGGGAGAAUAAGCCCCGGCUAACUUCGUGCCAGCAGCCGCGGUAAUA
This 498-nucleotide ribosomal RNA is filed under the name uncultured bacterium. RNAcentral describes it as "bacterial SSU rRNA". It matches the Rfam family "Bacterial small subunit ribosomal RNA", at positions 9 to 525 of the family's 1533-position model. The record is from RNAcentral.